RNAcentral lists this non-coding RNA (30 nucleotides) under Homo sapiens (human). The record is from RNAcentral. Lineage: Eukaryota; Metazoa; Chordata; Mammalia; Primates; Hominidae.
UCUUCCAUGAUCUGUUCUUGUUGUAUCUCU